Molecule: ribosomal RNA, 253 nt
Filed under: uncultured bacterium
Lineage: Bacteria
Description: partial 16S ribosomal RNA
Rfam family: Bacterial small subunit ribosomal RNA
Source: RNAcentral
UACGUAGGGGGCAAGCGUUGUCCGGAAUCAUUGGGCGUAAAGCGCGUGUAGGCGGCUCGGUAAGUCCGCUCUGAAAGUCCAGGGCUCAACCCUGGGAUGCGGGUGGAUACUGCCGGGCUCGAGUCCGGAAGAGGCGAGUGGAAUUCCCGGUGUAGCGGUGAAAUUCGUAGAUAUGGGGAGGAACACCGGUGGCGAAGGCGGGACUCUGGGCCGAUACUGACGCUGAGGAGCGAAAGCGUGGGGAGCGAACAGG